Molecule: ribosomal RNA, 484 nt
Filed under: uncultured bacterium
Lineage: Bacteria
Description: partial 16S ribosomal RNA
Rfam family: Bacterial small subunit ribosomal RNA
Source: RNAcentral
AUUGAACGCUGGCGGCAUGCUUUACACAUGCAAGUCGAACGGCAGCGCGGGCUUCGGCCUGGCGGCGAGUGGCGAACGGGUGAGUAAUACAUCGGAACGUGCCCAGUAGUGGGGGAUAGCUCGGCGAAAGCCGGAUUAAUACCGCAUACGACCUGAGGGUGAAAGCGGGGGAUCUUCGGACCUCGCGCUAUUGGAGCGGCCGAUGGCAGAUUAGCUAGUUGGUGGGGUAAAGGCCUACCAAGGCGACGAGCUGUAGCUGGUCUGAGAGGACGACCAGCCACACUGGGACUGAGACACGGCCCAGACUCCUACGGGAGGCAGCAGUGGGGAAUCUUGGACAAUGGGCGAAAGCCUGAUCCAGCAAUGCCGCGUGUGUGAUGAAGGCCUUCGGGUUGUAAAGCACUUUUGGCGGGAACGAAAAGGACUGUGCCAAUACCACGGUUCGAUGACGGUACCCGCAGAAUAAGCACCGGCUAACUACGUG